GCAUCCGAAAGUAAAUUUGAAACUGGGCAGCGGGGGUCAUUUUAAAACAUUUAAUUGCUUUACAACAGUCUCUUUGGAAAAACUUGUUAUUGCUAGUACCAAAAAUAGUGACAAAAUAGUGGCCUGAUCAUGAAACAGUGGUGUGGCUGAAAUUAAGAAAAGGAUACUUAACAUGGCUCACAAUACAUGAGAUAAAUGCGUUGUUUUCCCCUGCAGCAGUAGAACUUCCUUUUCCCUGCUCCCGUUUUCCUUUUUCCCCUUUCCUCAAAUGUAUGAUUUUACUGUAGUCUAUCGUAAUUAUUAACUGAAAUAAAGAGCCAGCUGUAAAUACAUGAUUUUUCCUGUGCACUGCUCGUGAAGUUGAAUUUGACAUGCCAAAGGGUGGUGAUGGGAGGGGUCAUGAGUGAACAGAAAAAUAAAAUUUGGCAGAAGGAAAUAGAAACCUCUCUCGUGAAAACUUGGGUAUUCAUGAACAUUAUAAACCCCAUCAUCUUGACGAGCCCACUCACAGUGCCAAAAAUGGCAGCACGAGGAGAAAUGUAUCCAAGAGUAAGCAUCAGAUGUGAGGCUAUGUGAUGUCAUAGCAUCAUUAUGUCACUCAAUGCCAAUUGAUUUCUAGGGCUGAUUGCAAGCAAUCAUUAAUCACUUUGUAUUGAGCAGUAUGCCAGCUCCAUUGCAUCUGGGGCAAAUACAAGUGUCACCUAUUUAGCCAACAUCCUGCUCUCAGCACUUUCAUACUUCAUCUUUCUAGCAGUUUGGUUUAGUUUGAGAUGCAACAAGAGGGGUUAAUAAAGCACUCACAGGGAAGUGUUCUCCUCGACCGAAUGAGUGCUGUGCAUCUGAGAGCAAGCCACAGAGAGGGCUCAGUAAGAGGACAUAGCAGAUGGUACAUGUAUGAUGUUGUUGAAGCACAAAUACAGAGAGAAAACUGUACUUGUCUUAACUUGUGGAAUAAAAGCUUAAUUAGUAUGGUGAUAAAAUGAUAGAGGUUAAGCCCUAAAAUAAGCCCAUAAAUUCUCUUUUAUAAUUUUCUUCUUAUUUAAAUAAGUUUUCAGUGCCAAAUUUAGGAGGAGGGGGAAGAGGAAGCAGAGCUAGUUCCAUGCACCAGUUAUUCAGAUCUGUUUUUGUCCACAGUGAUUUUUCUGGCUGCUGUUCUUCUGCCAGAAAGAAAAUACUAUCUCUAACCUGAGUAACUCCAGUACCAUCUGUAUCU
This 1213-nucleotide long non-coding RNA is filed under the name Anas platyrhynchos platyrhynchos (common mallard). RNAcentral's name for it is "lncRNA (ENSAPLG00000019937.1)". Lineage: Eukaryota; Metazoa; Chordata; Aves; Anseriformes; Anatidae. The record is from RNAcentral.